AAACUCCGCAAUACGCGCAAGCGUGACGGGGGAACCCCAAGUGCCUCAUCUUUUUGGUGAGGCUUUUUCAGAGUGUAAACAGCUCUGAGAAUAAAAGCGGGGUAAGACCGGUGCCAGCCGCCGCGGUAACACCGGCCGCUUGAGUGGUGACCGCUAUUAUUGGGCCUAAAGCGUCCGUAGCCUGUUCGGUAAGUCCUUGGGUAAAUCCUGCCGUUUAACGGUAGGAAUUCUGGGGAUACUGCCGGACUCGGGGUCGAGAGAAGUCGGAGGUACUCCGGGGGUAGCGGUGAAAUGCUGUAAUCCUCGGGGGACCACCAGUGGCGAAGGCGUCCGACUAGAGCGGGCCCGACGGUGAGGGACGAAAGCCAGGGGAGCGAACGGG
This 382-nucleotide ribosomal RNA is filed under the name uncultured archaeon. RNAcentral describes it as "bacterial SSU rRNA". It matches the Rfam family "Archaeal small subunit ribosomal RNA", at positions 345 to 727 of the family's 1478-position model. The record is from RNAcentral.